RNAcentral lists this non-coding RNA (67 nucleotides) under unclassified sequences. Its description in RNAcentral is "S15-Flavobacteria ribosomal protein leader". It matches the Rfam family "S15-Flavobacteria ribosomal protein leader". The record is from RNAcentral.
UAUAUUUGCACCGUCUAAUUAAAAGUUAAUUAGGCUACAUAAGAAUCAUUUUAACAAUAUUGGCAUG